Long non-coding RNA from Papaver somniferum (opium poppy), 806 nucleotides. RefSeq lists it as uncharacterized. The record is from RefSeq and is a predicted model, not a curated record. The transcript is spliced from 3 exons. Lineage: Eukaryota; Viridiplantae; Streptophyta; Magnoliopsida; Ranunculales; Papaveraceae.
GCAACUGCGCCAGAUAGUAUUGCACGUGCCCUGCUUCUCCAUCUUGUUCUGCACUCAUCUUACUAUGCCGGUACCGGAUUCAAGAGAUACUGGAAGAAUUGAGGAUGAUGAAAACUAUGAGGUAGAUUGUUGCUAAUCUCCCAAAUCAAAUUGCUAAUAGUGGACAAUCAAAGUGUACUCUAUAGUUCUAAAUCUCUAUAUGGCAACUAGAAAAGAUAUUUUUAUCAUUGGUUUCUUUUUCACUUUGAUGGCUCUUCAAUCAAUGAAUGUGACUGCUCAAUAUCAUAAUUGUUUUGCGAGGUAUAACCCACACCACCCAUGGUACUCUGAUGGAUUGUCUUGUGUUGGGUCACUCAUGCGUUGGAGGUAUUCGCCUACAGAUGAUGUGAAAGGGGAUUGUAUAGAUUGGUGCAAGUCAUUUGGUGCCAGUGUUGGGAUAGCGUGUGCCCAGAUGAAUGAGGAUGAACUUAAUAAGAUAUAUUGUGCUUGUUACUCAGAGUGUCAUCCGGAUGAAGAAGCUCAGGGGCCUACCUUUUGAGAUAAAGAUGCAUUCUUCAAUAUUGAUUUUUUGGUUGAAACCAUUUCUUAUCAUCUUAUAAGAAGGGGAUAGUUUUAUGCACACUGUCAUCAUGAUUAUAGUUCGUGUUGAAGAAAUCUACAAGUCUUUAAGUUUUUCAGCUUCUGGUGGUGUUCUUGUUAUUGUUGUAUAAACAGAAGAGUUUAGCUCGAGUGUUGUUUGAAUCGAUGUUUAAUAAUGAAUGAUUGAUUGUGUUAAUUAAUCUAAUCUAUUAAUGAGUGUUCUAUUA